Long non-coding RNA from Cavia porcellus (domestic guinea pig), 2670 nucleotides. RefSeq lists it as uncharacterized. The transcript has 2 exons. The record is from RefSeq and is a predicted model, not a curated record. NCBI's taxonomy places the organism in Eukaryota, Metazoa, Chordata, Mammalia, Rodentia, Caviidae.
UUGAGAAAAACAUCAAAUGCUCAUUGUUAUGGAUUAAAAACUGGUGGUCAACUUAAGGCCACCUGAAUUAAAUCAGCAUGGUGCUCAGCGUAGAUGGCCACCUGAGGAAAGUUACCAGCACGGAGACAGAGAAGACGAGUGAGGCGUUAUGGGUUCUCCUAAGCGUUGCUGUUUGAGCUGCUGGUUCCCCUGGAGGAGCUGUCAUGACCAGCUUCCCCAGUGUGAGUUCGACCACUGUCAUCAGCAGAGCUCGGGACCUUGCUGGUAAGUCAGAAAACCACAGUUCAGACUGGAGUUGAGAGCUGAUCUGGAACCAGCAAGACAGCCAGAAAUCGUUCUCUCUCAGCCUUGGAGGUACAAAGCGAGCCACUGGUUCCUGGUGGUCAGAUGAGAUGAGCUGCUUCAAAAAGCCCGGAGACACUGUUUCUCCCAGCAGGAGUCUGGCUAACCUGCUUGUGUAGCAGCUAAGACCUAGCGGGAACUACAUGAUGGGAAACCACUGGAGGGGUUGCUUAAACGAGAUAAAGGGUUUCUAUCCAUAUGAAAGAAGCCCAGAAUCGGGUGUGGUGGCGCACGCCUGUCAUCCCAGCACUGGGAGGCUGAGGCAGGAGGAUCAUUGCAUGUUCCAGGGCAUUUUGGGCUACAUAGUGAGCUUGAAGUCAGCCUGGACUAUUUAGAGGGACCCUGUCUUGUGAAAACAAACAAAGCACCCUACCACGGCCUGUAACAGAAGCCCACAGCAGCCCUUACUGCAUCCCGGCUCUGUGUAUGAAGGGGAGGCUCCCCGUGAGGAGCCCCCAGGGAGCGUCAGCUAAUACCAGCGUUAAAAGCUCUGCAUUUCCUCAGGCUAACCUUCAACUUACCGAGUGGAUCAUUUCUGUUUCUCCAGACUUCCAUAUAUGAAAGCAAUUACCACAGCAACUUGAAACUACAAAGAACUGCUUCAGGAGACAUUUGCCAUGUUUGAAUAGAAACUAGAAACAAACCUAGGGGAAGCCGGGCAUAAUGGUGCAUGUCUGUAAUUCCAGCACUCAGGAAGCUGAGCCAGGAGGAUCUCUGUGAGCUCAAAACCAGCCUGGGCUACAGAGUGAGUUCAAGUCCAGCCUGAACUGCAUAGUGAGAUCCUGCUUCAAAAAGACCAAAAAAGAGAGACAGCAGGAUAUACACAUAAAGGAAAGUUCACAUGAGAACAUGCAGGCAGUGGCCCAUCUGUAAGUCAAGGAAGCCCUCAAGGGGACACAAUCGUGAUCUUACACAUCUUGAUCCUGCAAUUCCAGCCCCCGGAACUGAGAGGAAAACACCCCAGCUAUGUGCACCCUCGCCAGUGAACAGGUGUGGGGCUUCGGUGUUAAAGAGAGGGUGCUGUUGAGGGUGGACUGGGUGGUAAGGAGUUGGCCUUCCUCCUGGAGCCUGUUUCUAUUUUGAAGGAUUUGCAUUAGAGAGAGGAGCCGACUUCUCACUUCUGUCCACUUGAGAGUGAAGAAAUCUCUCCCCUGGCAGUGAUAGCAGAGCUCAGAGGAGGACCUGUCCUUUCAAAGCCCAGAGGCCCAGUCCUUCCUUCCUGCUCCUGCCCAGGGUGCCCCUACCUGUGACUCAGGAUGCCUGCCACGGGGCCACUUGUGAUGGUCGCACAGCUCACCCACAUUCCCAUAUGGCUUUUUAUCAAUAAACACAAUUUACACUUCAAUCUCCAGCUGCCCGAGUCCACGCCUGCCUCUGAGUGCCCUCAGCUGAUACAGGACAAGGAGGUGUCCCCAAGCCCACAACAGGAAGGACAAGCAUUUUCCAAAGGUAAGGAACCUGCAGCCCCAAACACAGGAGCAAGCCGGAGAGCAUACGCGGAGUUCCUAAGUGGAGUGGCCCUGCCGGUGGUUCACGGGCUCGCUCCUGACACACACUGAAGGGACGGGAAGACAGGAAAAUGCCCAUUGGACUUAGCAAGUCAGGGCCCUAGUAACCUUGGCAACAGCCGCACCAAGACUUUGUGGAUGGGGUAGGAAAUGUGACCAUGCAGUGUGCUGAAGAGGGGUGGCAGCCGGUGUGCCCUGAUUCCUUUAUGAGAAUUGGGGGAAAGGAACCAUCAGGCGGUGGAGGGAGUUGAGGUACAAGCUGAGUAUUUCGAGGGGAAGGACUUGAGCUUGCUUGCAUAUGGUGAGGGAGGAGCGAGGGAGACAUGGGGAGAGAUUUCAUUACAGGCAGCCGAGUUAGACUGAAAUGUUACAGGCAGUCAGACAGGGCUGGGCCCUGGAGGGAGCCAUGCAGAGGGGCAGAUACCUUGGAACUGUGGGGGAGACAGACACCUCUGCUGUAGGCCAGGCCUCAAGAGAAAAGAUCAAGCAAAUGCACCCACAUCCUAAGAACUGAUAUUCUAAAUACUCUAUCACCCUGAGGAAGCCAGGGGUCAUCAGACCAACCCCCUAGGAGAAGAGUCAGGGCUCUGUAUGUGUGUCUCACAUCUGUCCCCCAUUUAAUCAAUUUUAUCUGAACAGUGAAUCUUACUGGCUGACCACAGUUCUGUCCCACCUCAUGCCCACCCGCCUUGCCAGUUCCCAUCUUGGGCCUGCCUCAUUUUGUGAUUUUACCCUAUAAAAUCCCUAGAAAAGACAGAGUCUUUGGCAACCCACUCACAACCCCUUCUGUUUUCUCUCAAUAAAUAUAUUCUGCUCUUAA